Podarcis lilfordi (Lilford's wall lizard) is the source of this 71-nucleotide non-coding RNA. Lineage: Eukaryota; Metazoa; Chordata; Lepidosauria; Squamata; Lacertidae. The record is from the annotation of a GenBank genome assembly.
UUAGUUAGCUCAGUGGGUAGAGCAUGAGACUCUCAAGGUUGUGGGUUUGAGCCCUAGGCUGCAGGGAAAAA